This 285-nucleotide ribosomal RNA is filed under the name Symphytognathidae sp. SYMP-004-THAI. Its description in RNAcentral is "partial 12S ribosomal RNA". The record is from RNAcentral. Lineage: Eukaryota; Metazoa; Arthropoda; Arachnida; Araneae; Symphytognathidae.
AUUUUAAAAAACAAGGAAGUAUAAAAUUUUUAUAAAAACCAAUAUAUGAUGGCGGCAUUUAUUUAUUAGAGGAACUUGUUUAAUAAUAGAUAAUCCACUUUAAUUUUUACCUAAUUUUUAAAACUUUCAUACCACCAUCUAAAGAUUUAAUUUAACCAUAUUAUCUAAAUAAAUUUAUAAAAAGUUAGGUAAAGGUGUAAUCCAUAAUUAGGUUAAAAUGUGUUACAUUAAAUAUAAUUUAAGGAUAAUUUAUAAAUUUUAAAUUUAAAAAAGGAUUUAAAAGUA